GAUGAACGCUGGCGGCGUGCCUAAUACAUGCAAGUCGAGCGAACAGAUAAGGAGCUUGCUCCCUUGACGUUAGCGGCGGACGGGUGAGUAACACGUGGGUAACCUACCUAUAAGACUGGAAUAACUCCGGGAAACCGGGGCUAAUGCCGGAUAACAUUUAGAACCGCAUGGUUCUAAAGUGAAAGAUGGUUUUGCUAUCACUUAUAGAUGGACCCGCGCCGUAUUAGCUAGUUGGUAAGGUAACGGCUUACCAAGGCAACGAUACGUAGCCGACCUGAGAGGGUGAUCGGCCGCACUGGAACUGAGACACGGUCCAGACUCCUACGGGAGGCAGCAGUAGGGAAUCUUCCGCAAUGGGCGAAAGCCUGACGGAGCAACGCCGCGUGAGUGAUGAAGGUCUUCGGAUCGUAAAACUCUGUUAUUAGGGAAGAACAAAUGUGUAAGUAACUAUGCACGUCUUGACGGUACCUAAUCAGAAAGCCACGGCUAACUACGUG
This 497-nucleotide ribosomal RNA is filed under the name uncultured bacterium. RNAcentral describes it as "partial 16S ribosomal RNA". It matches the Rfam family "Bacterial small subunit ribosomal RNA", at positions 28 to 507 of the family's 1533-position model. The record is from RNAcentral.